This is an RNA transcript of Teleopsis dalmanni, 1260 nucleotides long. It is a transcript of the gene named eukaryotic translation initiation factor 4E1-like, with no coding region annotated. The transcript has 4 exons. NCBI's taxonomy places the organism in Eukaryota, Metazoa, Arthropoda, Insecta, Diptera, Diopsidae. The record is from RefSeq and is a predicted model, not a curated record.
GCUAGUGCGGUUGUCAAAAACUUCUUGCUUCAGGAGUAGGUUUUUCGAGACAAAAGUUGACCGUAAAAGUUAAGGACAAGUGAUUUCAAAGUUGUGUGAUACUAAAAACGAUUUUAAGAAAGUCUUUGACAAAUUAGAACUGUAGCGGCUGCCAUUCACUUAAAACAUCGCAAUAUGUUUGAUGGAGAAGUACAAGAAAAACCCUUCAUUUCAAAUGAAGUUAUUGAGCAAACAUCCAACACUAAUCUCAGCCCAAUGACUAACCCAAAGGACAUGAAGCAAGCAGAUACCAUACGUCACGGUGAGCUACAUAAGCAUCCUCUGCAACAUGUCUGGACUUUGUGGUAUUUAGAAAAUGAUCGUAACAAGUCUUGGGAUGAGAUGCAGAAUGAGAUUGUUAGUUUUGACACUGUGGAGGAUUUUUGGUCACUUUAUAAUCACAUUAAGCCACCUUCAGAAAUAAAAAUUGGCAGCGAUUAUUCACUAUUUAAGAAAGGAAUUCGUCCAAUGUGGGAGGAUGAAGCCAAUAAAGACGGCGGGCGAUGGGUUAUCACGUUCAACAAAAAUUCUAGUCCGCAAUUGGACUUAAUGUGGUUAGAUUUAGUUUUAUCGUUGAUUGGUGAAACAUUUGAGUUUGCGGAUGAGAUAAAUGGUGCCGUAGUCAAUAUUCGUAGUAAGAGCAAUAAGAUUUCCGUCUGGACUGCAAAUGGUCACAAUGAAAGUGCUGUUCUUGAAAUUGGGCGCAAGUUGCGUGAAGUCUUACGUCUGGGCAUACAAACCUUGCAAUAUCAACUUCAUAUAGACACUAUGUCAAAGCAGGGCGUUAGUGUCAAGCCAGUGUACGUUUUAUAAACUAUAAAUAUGCAACAUAAUCCUUUUCUCAAAAAUAGUAAAAUGCGUCACUAGAAAGGAUGUUGCCAAUUAAAUCGCAUAAUUUUAGAAGAUAUAAGCAAUAAGAAAAGCGUGAAUCAAGAAAAAUUAAGAUUUCAGAAUUUAUAUUGAAGUACGUAUCCGUGUAAAGAUUGGGAUACGAGAUUGACAGCGAAAAAUACUCUUGGGCUCUACAAUCGCAAUAAUUAUUUUAAACACAAUUUCCAUAAUACAUUUAAUACAUUUAAUAUAAUAUGCGAAAGCAUAAAAACUAAUUUAUAUGACACCAAAUUUUAACAGUUCAUUAAACUAACAAAUGCUUUUUAGCAAAUAUAAUAACAAAAAUGGAAUAAAAGAAACAUAAGACUAAAAUGGCUUUAAGUAUGUUUU